CGAACUUCGAUAUUCUAGAAGUUUCGAAAAUUCGAACAUCGUUGCCAGUGAGCGCUCUGAGUCUGAUGCGCGCCAGUACUCGAUUGUCAUUUGACGCGAUACGUUCUCUGGCAUUCGCUGUGCUAUUACUGCUAUACGACCCAACGGCUUCAACUCUGUUCGGAACUUCGGAUACUAAACUUCCUCGGUGUCUGUGAUUCAUUGGAUCAUUGCAGUCUUGACACUGUGGCACAAAGGAUUGCAGUCAUCUUUCUUCUUCUAAAGCUGUAGUCUACAUCAUGGCUACCCCUACUCAUCAUCCUAUAAUUAAGUUUGCCUUUAAAAAUGUUGAAUCUGUAGAUAAUGGUUCAGUUGGUUCUCUUCAGGCUAAAUGUAAUUUUUGUAAAUUUGGUGGGGGAAUUGUAAAGUUCAGUAAAAAAAGUUACAGUAAUUUGACUAAACACCUAAAGCGUCACCACUUGAGUGAAUAUAAUGCUUAUCUUGAAAAA
Molecule: long non-coding RNA, 488 nt
Organism: Hyalella azteca
Lineage: Eukaryota; Metazoa; Arthropoda; Malacostraca; Amphipoda; Hyalellidae
Exons: 2
Source: RefSeq, a predicted model, not a curated record